AAUAAGACCCCGGGAAAUGAUCCGGGAGGGGGCGGCUCGGCGGUCGGGGCCCGGGACGGGCGGCCUGAGCCCUCAGAGACCCCGGGUUCCGGCCCCUCAGGCCAGGGCUCUGGUCUCAUUCAAAUCGAUCAAUCAUCAAUAAUCAAUAAAACCUCUUGAAAUGUGUAGGGGAGACGGCUCAGAGGUCAGAACCCGGGACGUGCAGCCUGAGUCCCCCAGAGGCCCCGGGUUCCAGCCCUGGCUCCCCCUCAGGCCAGGGCUCUGCUCUCAUUCAAAUCGAUCAGUCAUCAAUAAUCAAUAACCCCCAUGAAAUGUCCAUAGGAGACGGCUCAGUGGUCAGAGCCCAGGACGUGCGGCCUGAGCCCCCCAGAGGCCCCGGGUUCCAGCUCCAGGUCUUCCUCAGGCCAGGGCUCUGUUCUCUCUCUUUCAUGCAAAUCAACCAAUAAUCAAUAAACCCCCAUGAAAUGUCCAGGGAUGACGGCUCAGUGGUCAGAGCCCGGGACGUGCAGCCUGAGCCCCCCAGAGGCCCCGGGUUCCAGGCCCGGCUCCCCCUCAGGCCAGGGCUCUGGUCUCAUUCAAAUCGAUCAAUCAUCAAUAAUCAAUAAACCCCCAUGAAAUGUCCAGGGAUGACGGCUCAGUGGUCAGAGCCCAGGACGUGCAGUCUGAGCCCCCCAGAGGCCCUGGGUUCCAGGUCCAGCUCCCCCUUAGGCCGGGACUCUGGUCUCAUUCAAAUCAAUCAAUCAUCAAUAACCCCCCAUGAAAUGUCCAUAGGAGACGGCUCAGCGGUCAGAGCCCAGGACGUGCAGCCUGAGCCCCCAGAGGCCCCGGGUUCCAGCCCCGGCUCCUCCUUCAGGGCUCUGCUCUCUCAUUCAAAUCAAUCAAUCAUCUAUUAACAGAUGUAUUGAUUAGUGAGAAACACACAGAGAGAGAGAGAGACAAGCAAAGCUCCCCCCACUCUCCGGGGCCCCAGGGGACCCCACGUCCUGGAUGGACACAAACCCCAGCCCAGCGCCCCGUCCCGGGGGUCAGGGGUCAGACUCACCAGGUUGGUCUCGGGGGGCCGCGUCUUGCUCUGUGGAGAGACGUGGGGUUUGGGUCCCUGCACUCUGGGGUGGGCCGUCCCCAUGUCUCUGUGUCCCCAUGUCCCCAGGCCUCUGUGUCCCCAUGUCCCCAGGUCUCUGUGUCCCCAUGUCCCCAGGCCUCUGUGUCCCCAGGCCUCUGUGUCCCUAUGUCCCCAUUGCCCCACGCCCCCAAGAUUCCCAUGUCCUCAUGUCCCCAAGUCCCCAAGGUUCCUAUGUCCCCAAAUCCCCAAUGUCCCCAUGUCCCCAAGGUCCCCAUGUCCCCAAGGUCCCCAUGUCCUCAUGUCCCCAAGGUCCCCAAGGUCCCCAUGUCCCCAAGGCCCCCAUGUCCCCAAGGUCCCCAUGUCCCAAAGGUUCCCAUGUCUCCAAGGUCCCCAUGUCCUCAUGUCCCCAAGGUCCCCAAGUCCCCAAGGUCCCCAUGUCCUCAUGUCCCAAAGUCCGCAAGGUCCCCAUGUCCUCAUGUCCCAAAGGUCCCCAAGGUCCCCAUGUCCUCAUGUCCCCAAGGUCCCCAUGUCUCCAAGGUCUCCAUGUCCCCAAGGUCCCCAUGUACUCAUGUCCCCAAGUCCCCAGGGUCCCCAUGUC
This is a long non-coding RNA of Erinaceus europaeus (western European hedgehog), 1661 nucleotides long. RefSeq lists it as uncharacterized. The record is from RefSeq and is a predicted model, not a curated record. The transcript is spliced from 3 exons. Lineage: Eukaryota; Metazoa; Chordata; Mammalia; Eulipotyphla; Erinaceidae.